UGUAGCGUUUAGCCAGACCCGGCACGCACCCGUCGGUCAGGCAGCGCGGCAGGUGUGUUUGAUUUGGGACACUGGCCCUGCUCGCCGGGUGGGGACAUCAUAUCCGUGAUUAAUAAGGGAGAUGCAGCCUUUUUUUAAAUCUAUGCUGAGGUCAUGCUAAUCUGAAUUUUAUUGCCUAGUUAGACCUGGUCCAGGUGUGAACGCAGCUGAUCGGGCUCUUUUCAUUUGUUUCCGUUAAUCAGAACUUCAUCACGUGACCACCUCCGCCCCUGCUCGUUGCCGACACUGCCCUGGUCUGUUUCCACGGUGUUUCUAGUAGCUCACAGUUGGUUUGUUGAAAAAUGACUCGACUUGAACAGGCCCUUAAAGACUUACACAUGACUUUGUGAGCCCUGUUUAGAGUUUUCAGCUCCUCCCCAGUCCUGGAGACCUUUAGUAUUAAAAAAUAAAAGCCUCGCUAACAUGUUUUAUCUCAGGCAGUUGAUGCCUCUCAGCUGUUUUUCCGCUCUGAUCAAACUGGCAAAGUUUUUAAAAUCACUUCUUUUUCAUCCUAAAAGCCGCUGAGUCGAAUUUACAGCAGCAGCACAAACAUCAAACACUGACACACACACACACACAGAUGCUCCAUACAGUCUACUGUCAGCACAGACUGACAGGAAACAUACAAACAGCUCACGCUCUGCAGCUCAAAGUGAAAACUCUGAUGUCGCAGUGGCCUUGAACGCACCAACAAGGACAGAUUGCGAUAACGCUUGUGUGUGUGGAUGUGUGUGUGUAUGACAGCGUCCCCACAAGAACGGAAACCUCUCCAUAGAGUCCAUCGAGUAGACAAAUGGGACGCUCGGGCUGACGGUCGUCUCCGCCCACAGAGGCUGCAGCGGUGUCGGCGUGGGAGGACUGAGGAGUCAGACUGGUCUGACAGUUCCUGCCUGCGGCAUUUAAAACUGAUCCACUGUCCACAUCUGCUCCACUCCACCUGUUUUUAGCGCCAGUGAAGAAGUUUUUAGCUUCUUCCGUCUGCUGCACAAGCUCCUGUUUUCUGUGGAUUCCUGUGUGUCUGAGUGCGUUUGUAGAGUCAAGACUCCAUGAACAGUGUCAUCACGUUGGGCUAACCCAGGCCCAGGUGGACUUAGUUCCCUUUGGACAGGCUAGCUGUUUCCCCCUGCUUCCAGUCUUUGUGCUAAGCUAAGCUAAGCCAAGCUAACCGGCCGCUGCAGCUUCGUAUUUACUGCGCAGACAUGAGCGUGGUGUCAGUCUGAACGUCUGGCUUUAGGCAAAAGAGUUUAAGCAGAUUUUCCAAAGUGUUGAACUGUUCCUUUAAGGUAAUGGGCCAGGGAAUGGAUUGUGUUUCUCAGGCCUGUCGCAAGUAAA
Molecule: long non-coding RNA, 1371 nt
Organism: Xiphias gladius (swordfish)
Lineage: Eukaryota; Metazoa; Chordata; Actinopteri; Istiophoriformes; Xiphiidae
Exons: 4
Source: RefSeq, a predicted model, not a curated record